UGUGCCUACGGGGCGCAGCAGUGGGGAAUAUUGCACAAUGGGGGGAACCCUGAUGCAGCGACGCCGCGUGAGUGAAGAAGUCAUUCGUGAUGUAAAGCUCUAUCAGCAGGGAAGAAAAUGACGGUACCUGACUAAGAAGCCCCGGCUAACUACGUGCCAGCAGCCGCGGUAAUACGUAGGGGGCAAGCGUUAUCCGGAUUUACUGGGUGUAAAGGGCGUGCAGCCGGGCUGACAAGUCAGAUGUGAAAUCCCGCGGCUCAACCGCGGAACUGCAUUUGAAACUGUCAGUCUU
Molecule: ribosomal RNA, 292 nt
Filed under: uncultured bacterium
Lineage: Bacteria
Description: partial 16S ribosomal RNA
Rfam family: Bacterial small subunit ribosomal RNA
Source: RNAcentral